Molecule: long non-coding RNA, 3544 nt
Organism: Homo sapiens (human)
Lineage: Eukaryota; Metazoa; Chordata; Mammalia; Primates; Hominidae
Exons: 3
Source: RefSeq, a predicted model, not a curated record
UAUAUUUUUCUUCUUUGUUCUCUAUUCUUUUAAUCUUUUUCUCCCUCUCUUGCUUCCUUUUGUUCUCCAGGGUGGCCGGUGUGGGCAGCUGGUGGCUUCCAUAAACUUCAAAUCUUUUUCAAGAUCAUGCAUUCUUGCAACCGGGGAAGAAUGGCCUACAAAGCCUGAUUGGGACCACAUAUAUCCCGGAUUUCCUUGGACUGACUCAACUAUUUGUCCCAGCUCCAAGUUUCAAGAAGCCAGUCAAGAUUGUCAGGAAUUCAAAGUUGACUGGGAUGGCAACCUCAGAAGCCAUGUCCUGAAGACAGCAAGGCCUCCUCAGCCUGGGUCCUUGAAUGACUGCAUGGAGGAGUGCUGCUCCUCCUCACCUGAACACUUGCAAAGGAUGGUUACAGGACAAAGAAAGAAACUUGGGUGAAGUCACUAGAUUUGGAGAUCUGUAUGUUACUGAUAUAGUUUGGAUCUGUGUCCCCGCCCAAACCUCAUAUUGAAAUGUAAUUCCCCGUGUUGGAGGUGGGGCCUGGUGGGAGGUGACUGGAUCAUGGGGGCGGAUUUCUCAGGACAGUGAGUGAGCUCUCGUAAGAUCUGGUUGAGUGUGCGGGCCCUCCCUGCGCUCUUUUUUUUUUUUUUUUUUUUUUUUUUUUGAGAUGGAGUCUCACUCUAUUGCCUAGGCUGGAGUGCAAUGGCGCUAUCUUGGCUCAUUGCAACCUCUGCCUCCCAGGUUCAACUGAUUCUCCCGCCUCAGUCUCCCCAGUAGCUGGGAUUACAGGUGCACACCACCACACUCGGCUAAUUUUUGUACUUUUAGUAGAGACAGGGUUUCACCAUGUUGGCCAGGCUGGUCUUGAACUCCUGACAUCGUGAUCCGCCCACCUCGGCCUCCCCGAGUGCUGGAUUCCAGGCGUGAGCCACUGCACCUGGCCACCACGUUCUCUCCUGACAUGUGUCAUGCCUACUCCCUGUUCGCCUUCUGCCAUGGUUGGAGGCUUCCUGAGACCUCAUCAGAAGCAGAUGCUACUGUGCUUCCUGUAAAGCCUGCAGAACCAUCAGCCAAAUACAUUUCUUUUCUUCAUAAAUUACCCAGUCUCAGGUAUUUCUUUAUAGCAACACAAGAAUGGCCUAAUAUAGUUACUGUGGCUUAGCCUAUCCUUAAUGAAACACUAUGUGUUCCAGAUAUUUAAAGCUGUCAUUUUCAACCAGGGACAAUUUUGUCCUCCAGGGGGCACUUGGCAAUGGCUAGAGACAUUUUUGGUCGUCACAAGUGGGGACGGUGGUGGUUCUAUUAGCUUCUAAUGGAUAGAAGUCAGCCUUGCUGCUAAACGUUCCUACAACGUACACAACUCUCCCUCAUAGCCAAGAACUAUGCAGUCCAGAACGUCUAUGGUACUGCUGGUGCCUGCUCUAGAGAGAUUAAGAAGAGGGCUGAACUUUGAACCUUCUGUUAUAGUCAAAGGGGAGGUAUGCAGUGAAAGCAGUGGGUUUCGGAGAAAGGCCUGCUUUUCAGUUCCAGCUCAACCACUAGCCAACUAUGUGACCUGGGGGAUAAGUCACUUUGUCCUCUGUACAUUCAAUAUUCUCAUGCUAAAAUAGGAAUUAAACUAGUACCCACAUGAUGGGACAGUGAGUGAGCAAAUUAAGUGCCUAGUGCCUGAUACAUGGUAAGUGCUCAAAUAUUAAUUGCUGCUAAUGUUAUUUUUUAGUGUUUUUGUAUUAUUGAGGCGUCUAUCUAGAAAAUUUAGAAAUGGUAGCUGAAUAGUAUGUUUAUAGCUGCGGGAAUCUAUUGAGGUGAUGGGGAUGGUUACAAAACUUAAGAUGUCACAAGACACUCAUUGCCUACAUUUUGACUCAAGAUCUAGCCAUAAAAGUUUGGAGCAAAUAACCCAACCUGACAUCAGUCACAAAGUACACAUGAACUCUUGUGUUCAGCCGACAGCUACUUUUGCAGAGCAACUCUGCAAAUCUCAACUCAUUUUGCUCUCACCGAAUGCUGCCCACCUUGAACUGUUUUCAUUGGUCAUUAGCAAUCAAUCAGCAGGUAUUUAUAUCACAUUCAAAAUGGGCAAACCCAUUAGAAAUGAAAAGAAGUGAAAGAUCAGUUCUCCCUGCCCUCCUUCCCAGAUCAGGUUGCAGUAUGAAGAUAUGAACACUCAAAAUCACUCACUGUUGCCACCUUCUAGGUUUGUGCUGCUGUUGUUGAGGUGGUGAAAGACGAGAGUAAGGUUAAGGUAAGGUGGGGAAUAAGGGGUCAUAAUAACAACAACAAUAACACAGAGAUAUGGAAAUAUGUAGUCAAAGUGAGAUUUUUGAGAGAUUAUGUAAAAUGAUUAGAUGUACUAUUUAAGGAGUGACUCCGAAAUAAGCAGAAAACUAACACGUUUGUCUCCAAAUUAUCAUAGAUAUUAAAUGGUUUUAAGAAAGAUCUCAUUCACCCGUUACGAUAAAAUCCCUUGGAGGAAAAAAAUAGACACAUUCACAUAAAAGUGCUCAAAUGCCUCAUAAAAAAGUACAUUAAAUGAUGCCAAGUACCACAGUGUAAGUUCCUUAUUAAAUCCACCCACAUAACGAGCCUUCAUUUAAAACAAUCCCUACCAACUCCUACGCUUGAGCAUGGAACACAUUUUUCUCCCUCGGUAUUUAAAAAACGUUAGUCUAAGUGAACCUUGUAAGAAGUGUCCAAUAAAUGUUAUUUAAAUUGGAGGGAAAAUAUGGAGAGAAGAUAUCUGUUAAGUAAAAAGACAAUAAAAUCUGCGACAAUUCCCCUCUUCUCAACAGCCUUCUUUCUUGGUGCAAAACCUGCCUCUUUUAGUCCAGCAUCCUAAGCAGGUAAGGCUGGGCCAGGGAAUGCCUAUGCACAACCAUUCCACUAUGGCUAAGGAAAAAGAGUAAGAUGCACACUGCCCUUUCCAUACCAAACAAUUUUGUCUCUCUAGCAGGAUCAAUGGGAAGACAGGCUUAAUCAGAAACCACCUCCACACUUGACAGUACUGUCCUCAAGGGAGGGGUGCCCCCAGGACAAAAGCCAACUCAGAUUCCAUUUCAUCCAAGUCACAGACAUCUCACAGGGCUAAGAGCUAAGUGUCCAGGCAGAGUAUGUGCUGAAAUCACUGCACAAGCUCUCUGGGCCUGAAUCCUGGAUUUCCUUCUUUCAUUCUGCACAAAUUUUGGAGAAGGUUUGCUUCCCCAGCAUAAGACAGUUUUCAAUUAAUUGGAUAUCACCAGUACAAAGAGAAGCCUCUUCUAGGCUAUGGCAGUGGGGAGAAUAGCUUUCAAUGUGUUUCAGGGCACUAAGUGUGUGAAAAACACCCUUCUCUCUUUUAUCUUCCCUGACACUGUCUGUACGAUCACUCAAUAAACAAAGAGUCCACAUAGACUAACGAACACAGAGCUUGGGGUUGGUGAUCACCAUUCUAAUCCUUGUUUAGCUACAGUUUUGAAUAAUGCUGAAUGCUUCCCAUAAAGAUAUGCUUAUGCUUCUGCUGUUUAAAUUUUGAACAUCAAGGCUAGAAUACUUAUGGUUUUUUUUGUUUUUUUGUUUUUUUUUUUG